Molecule: RNase P RNA, 340 nt
Filed under: unidentified eubacterium clone LGW#116
Lineage: Bacteria; Pseudomonadati; Planctomycetota; Planctomycetia; Planctomycetales
Description: partial ribonuclease P RNA
Rfam family: Bacterial RNase P class A
About the family: Ribonuclease P (RNase P) is a ubiquitous endoribonuclease, found in archaea, bacteria and eukarya as well as chloroplasts and mitochondria. Its best characterised activity is the generation of mature 5'-ends of tRNAs by cleaving the 5'-leader elements of precursor-tRNAs.
Source: RNAcentral
GAGGAAAGUCCGGGCUCCGCAGGACAGGGUGGUCGGUAACGCCGACCGGCCGCAAGGCUCGGGAAAGUGCAACAGAAAGAUACCGCCUCCGCGGCUCGUCCGCGCGGUAAGGGUGAAAUGGUGCGGUAAGAGCGCACCAGCCGGCGGGGUGACCCGUCGGCUCGGCAAACCCCACCCGGAGCAAGGCCAAACAGAGAGGAGCCGCGCAGCGCAAGCUGCGCGGCGCGGACCGGUCCGGCCCGCCAUUACUCUCGGGUAGGUUGCUGGAGGCGGCGAGCAAUCGUCGUCCUAGAGAAAUGACCAUCGCCGGCCCCAGGGGCCCGGCACAGAACCCGGCUUA